CCCUGCCCCCCCUCUGACCCUGCUUCUUGAUUUUGAUCUGUGCUGUACCGCUGUACGAACCCGCUGCUGCUUAUCCCAUCGCUGUCGCGUGCUGUCGAGUUAGCUUCUCAUGCCACUGCUGUAUGAUUUCGUAUGAUGAGUCGAUUAGAGGAGAUGGGCGGAGAAGGAAAUUUUGGGAUGCAUGCCAUGCUAGGAUCUACUAUACAGGAGGUAGGGCGGGAGCUGGUAGUAGGCCGCGUCGGUUCUCAGUCAAGUCCCAAAGGACGCAACAACCCCUGGGAGAGUUUUUUCUUGCAAAUAACUGCGCCAAUAGAUGGGAUUCGCCCGAGACGGUGCUCUGAGGAAGAGUUUAGGCAUAACACCGGAUUAAGAGGCUUGACAAUCGGUCAUGGUUAACCUCACCAUAAAACUUCAGAAGCUAAUCCUACAAAGAUAACGAACUCGAUAAUGCAGGCUGGUCAUGAUUGUACUGAUCACUGAGUUAACUAUGUUUUUAGGAUUGGUUUCUUUUGUUUUAUCUUCUGGGCAAUCGUCGUUGCUAGUGACAUCAGGGUUGAAUAGGUUGACGACAACACACUUGUUACUGAUGAACACAAUGAUUAAAGAGAACCAACCUGCUUCUGUUCAUUUCUGCUACACUGUUUCUACCUGUUUGCGUGUAGAACCAUUCUUGAGCCUGAAUGGUACUACUUUUCUUGUUUUUUGUCUUUUUUGUUCUUAUGAAAAAUCUUUUGUUCAUUUUAUUAUAUACAUGCUAGAGCACACCUCACGAGGAUCACCUUUGAAUCAUGCUAAGUUACGAAGUUGGCAAUACCUUUGAAUCACCUUCGCCCCUCCCGCGUGCUGAACAUGUGCAGGUGGACUUGUUGCUCCAUGUUCUGCAGCUGCAGGCGCAUCUUCAGUUUACUGCCUGUUUUUGCUAAGCAAUGUGCCAAUGGAAGCAUGCAUGGUUUGGCUAUAUGAAGUUCAUCAAAUCAUAAAAGAGUGAAUAGGUGUUGGCUUUAGAGUGCUAGCUUGUAUACUCUAGCAGGCGAAGCACGUACGUGCAAGCUAACUUCAACAAAGCAGACUAGUAGCUUAAUUGAUUCUUUGUUAGCUAGCAGUACUCGGAUGACUAACUGACCGUGUAUUUGUACUAGUAGCUAGCAGUACUCGGACUAGUAGCUAGCAGUACUCGGAUGACUAACUGACUGUGUAUUACAAUUGCUGGGUGCACUUAUGAUACACUUAGUGUGCCACCUCCAGAUGACCAACUGACUGUGUAUUUGUAGUAGCACGUGCCGACGAAGCAGGAACACAGAGUUGCGGAGAGCAGCAGCUCACAAUCGUGGUCAGGGACCGACUGUCCGAGAGUAGACCGUGGAGACGUGGAGUUCAGUCCAGGCAGUUCCUUUCGCGUAGAUUUUGCUGGUUGUGGCAUUGCUUGAAUUUGGGUUAUUGGAUAGCUGGAGCUGCGUAGGAUUUCUUCUAAUUUACUACAGGAGACGAAGACCACGCUUCAUGAAUUCAGGGCACCCCCGAGGUGGUCAUGUGGGAUCCUCUCGAACAACUCGUGCUCGCUGUCGACUUCGAUGGCAGGGUCACCCGCUCCAUCGGCCCCCUCUCCGGCGGGAUGUACUACUCGGAUUUCAUCCCCUACGUCAACUCAUACACAGAGAUCUACAUGUACUACUCGGAUUAAACUCUGUUCUGCUGUACAAUUACACUCGCAAGCUGUCUUACCGUAUUAUUGGAUCUGUUAAUCACUGCCUACAUGUUAGAUCGGUUUGAUUUUGAGAUGCAGCAAGACUUCAAUGUUUCUGAAUUCUGAUGUGAAAGCAUGUCUAUGUCAGUUGAACUUUGCACGACUGUUCCUGUAGAUCGAUGGUGAUAUCAGCAUGCAUCCUAAUUGUCAAUCUCGAGUCUGCACUUCUGUAUGUUUUUGAUGUGAAACACUUAUGCAUGACUAAUUGUUAAGUUGAUACAAUUUCUUUGGUAGACAAGCAUGGAAAUAUGUAUUAACUUUCCAGAAAAUUGAACUUUUCUUAACAAAUCAAGAACUCCCCUCAUUAUGUGAAACACCUAUGCAUAUGACUAAUUCUACACGGCAAUUCUAUUCAAUUCUGAUUUCUUUGGUAGUCAAUUCUGUUCAGUUGUGAAACACCUAUGCAUAUGACUGUGACAGCAUGUCUACAUCAGUACAACUUUGCAUGCAUAUUUUAUUGACUAGAUAUAUACGUGUUGACUGUUCUUCUAUUCCUAUGUACUGCAUAUUGUGUAAUGGAGUUUGCUUGUAUGGUGUUUGUGAAAAUGUUAGUAUGAAAAUAAUUGACAUUGGUUAUAGCGUACAUGGCCAUUAGAAACGCGGAAGGUUACUGUGGCUAUGGUCGCCCACGCUCUGCUUCUCCUGGUCUCUGUGUACCCUGCUUGCAUACUGUCUGUUUGUGAUUUAUUCUAGCAAGUAUCCGUUCAUGAGAAAUAAGCUCUCCAGGAUUCACCGGACCAACAACUAGUUCUAGCAUGUUUAUUUCAAGCAAUUUCUGAUUCAUGCUGUUUGAUGAAUCAGUACCCAUGUCGGGAGACUAGUAGAACUUGCAAACUUUAGUCACUUAUCCUGCUGUUCAUGUCCAUAGUGAUGAGAAUUUAUGGGUAUUGCUAUUUGCCUCUGGUGACAUGUGAGAAGCACUCAUCUACUCCCUCCGUCCAAAAAUACGUGUCGGAGGAAUGGAUGUAUCUAGACAUAUUUUAGUUCUAGGUACAUCCAUUUUUAUGCAUUUCUGCGACAAGUAUUUCCGGACGGAGGGAGUAUAUGUUUAUAUUUUGAGCAGCUGGGUACAACUACAGUUGCAAAAUCAUCCAGCCAAAUUUUGGGAGGAUGGCAUAAAAGAUUACAUAACCCAUGCUUUCGAAAUCAUGGUAUUCUAUUUAUGCUUCAUUCUGAAAUCUAUUGUGCACUGCCAAGUCCAUGAGGCGAAGCGCUCACUGCUCGACUAUUUCUUUACUGAACUGGGAGCAACAAAGGCAAGAUAUUCAAAACAAGCUGAAGUCCUUUUGAUUCUUGAUUUAGCAUACACAUGCAACCUGAUUGGUGAUGUUACUAUAGAUAUGAUGUAGGUUUAAUGCUUACAAUUUUUUUGAUGUGAUGCAUGUCACCUUUCGAAAUAUGAAGAUGCUCUAUCACUGUUGCUGGCAAUCUGGCAUAUCAUAACAGUCUUACCCCUUGUUCUGUCACUAGCAUACACUACAGUUUUAGAUAAAAGGGGGCAUAUCAUUUGCUCUAUAAAAUGGAUUGAUAUUAAUUUAUUUGGACUUGCACACAUUAGGUAAGGAAGGAUCGCCAAUCUGGGUGUCCAAAUGAUAGUAAAACCUAGGCUCUUGCACGGUUCUUGGAUUUAUUUUUAGCAUAUAUUACCCAUAUCGAGACUGAACAUGUCGAUUUUCUUCUCAUCUACAGGAGAGUUAUGUUCUGAUUUUUUUGAAGAAGCUGGAAGUCCAAGACAACGACUUGCUUUACAUGUUUGUUGUAAUGCCGUAUUUUCUGGGAAUUUGGAUAUAAUGUUGAUCUUGCUGAGAAUUUGGUGUAUAUUUGCUUGCUGAACUUAUUAUUCAAAUGCUAGAAUAUAUGUACAAAUCCUUGGAAUUUUAUUGUAUGUAUUUUUGAAAUGUAUUCUUGGAUUUAAAGUGGUCAAAAACAGAAUAUAUUGGUAUUGAA
This is an RNA transcript of Triticum dicoccoides, 3691 nucleotides long. RefSeq lists it as uncharacterized. The transcript is spliced from 4 exons. Lineage: Eukaryota; Viridiplantae; Streptophyta; Magnoliopsida; Poales; Poaceae. The record is from RefSeq and is a predicted model, not a curated record.